CCAAUUGGAGUAGCAACAAGGCCGAACGGCACCUAGCCUCCCUUCGAUUCGCCUUCCUCAAUCACGAAGUACAAGACCGGCGUCGGAACUAGUUUUUGGUUCUGACCGGUGGUCGGAGAUCCACCGAUCAGUAGCUAGAAGACCUCUGGCGUCCGCAUCCCUCCCGGCAUCCUCAAACUGGUUCAACUUAGACUCGUCACUUGGUUGUCCGUUCUAGUGGCCAGCGGUGGUUCUGUGGCUGCUAGACCUGAUCCAAUCCAUCCCCUAUGCCGUCUCCAACCAGGUUGUGGUUAGAGUCCAGCCGGCUAGUCACUAGAUAGCUCCAGUGAUCCCGAUCUCCACCAGCCGUCUCAAAACGGGUCCAAGCUUGGACCGGUCUUUGCUUCUUUUGCAGGUUGAACCGGCGGUCUAGUUGUGCCGAUCCAAUCCCUAGGCGAUCCUGUCCACUCCCUUGGAACUCUGAUCGUGUUCUGGCGAAGUCUAUUUCAUCCGAUUACGUCAAAAUCAAUGAAAUUAAAGCAAAAGGUAACCCCUUCGGACUUGAAUUCGAUGAAGCGAGGCUAGAAUAGCUAACUGAGACUAGGAUUUGCACUUAGGGUUUCAUGAAAUGUUUAGAUAUGUUGUUGAUUGGCUUAGUCGAUGGUUUGCUGAAAUAUAAUGAUUGAUUAAAUGCAAGUUUUUGGUUGAAGAUUGACUUGAAUACAAGUUUGCAAAUUUCGUGUAUCUGUAACAUGCUUAUUGUUUUGGCUUAAAUGAGGCCUUGGAUGGCCUUAUUUUGACUCGAGGCCUUCUACACAUAAAAAAA
Long non-coding RNA from Eucalyptus grandis, 805 nucleotides. RefSeq lists it as uncharacterized. The transcript is spliced from 2 exons. NCBI's taxonomy places the organism in Eukaryota, Viridiplantae, Streptophyta, Magnoliopsida, Myrtales, Myrtaceae. The record is from RefSeq and is a predicted model, not a curated record.